CAGAUAUUAGUUUUAUUAAAAUUUUAAUUUUGGAGAUUAAAGAUGGGAAUUUCCUAUAUCUGA
This 63-nucleotide transfer RNA is filed under the name Psylliodes sp. BMNH 846644. Its description in RNAcentral is "tRNA-Pro". Lineage: Eukaryota; Metazoa; Arthropoda; Insecta; Coleoptera; Chrysomelidae. The record is from RNAcentral.